GCUGGAAUGAAAAGACAACCCACAGUGCGUCAGCACACAACUUAACACAGACCAUCUACACUGGAACAGAAACUUAACACAACUUGCAUGAGAUGUUUACUGUGUACCAGGGGAAGGCACUAAGAAGAAUGGAAAAGUGAAUGGGGUCUACGUGAUCUUGAGUUUCAUUGCCUCAUUUGACAGCGGCAAGAGAUGCUGCCCACAGGUGUUAAGGUGACAGACUACUCUAGGACUGCUGCAGAUUAGCACCAUUAUUAUUAUUAUUUUUUUGAGACGGAGUCUCACUGUGUCGCCCAGGCUGGAGUGAAGUGGCACAGUCUC
RNAcentral lists this long non-coding RNA (321 nucleotides) under Homo sapiens (human). Its description in RNAcentral is "HSALNT0355549". The record is from RNAcentral. Lineage: Eukaryota; Metazoa; Chordata; Mammalia; Primates; Hominidae.